UACAGAGGGUGCAAGCGUUGUUCGGAAUUAUUGGGCGUAAAGCGCGUGUAGGCGGCUUAGCAAGUCGGGCGUGAAAGCCCUCGGCUCAACCGAGGAAGUGCACCCGAAACUGCUGAGCUUGAGUGCCGGAGAGGAUGGCGGAAUUCCCAGUGUAGUGGUGAAAUACGUAGAGAUUGGGAAGAACACCAGUGGCGAAGGCGGCUAUCUGGACGGUUACUGACGCUAAGACGCGAAAGCGUGGGGAGCAAACAGG
RNAcentral lists this ribosomal RNA (253 nucleotides) under uncultured bacterium. RNAcentral describes it as "partial 16S ribosomal RNA". It matches the Rfam family "Bacterial small subunit ribosomal RNA", at positions 524 to 776 of the family's 1533-position model. The record is from RNAcentral.